UGCCAGCAGCCGCGGUAAUACAGGGAGGGCGAGCGUUAUUCGGUGUUAUUAGGCGUAAAGCGUACGUAGACUAAAAUUGUAGGAAUUGGUUAAAUAGCAAAGCUUAACUUUGGAAAUGCUUGUUUCUGAAUAAUUUUUUGAGUUUGAAUAAGGAUGGUGGAAUUGCUAAAGUAAGGGUAAAAUCUUUAAAUAUUAGUAGGAAUGCCAAAGGCGCAGGCAGCUAUCUGGUUCAAUACUGACGUUGAGGUACGAAAGUGUGGGUAGCAAACAGGAUUAGAUA
This 280-nucleotide ribosomal RNA is filed under the name uncultured bacterium. RNAcentral's name for it is "partial 16S ribosomal RNA". It matches the Rfam family "Bacterial small subunit ribosomal RNA", at positions 506 to 784 of the family's 1533-position model. The record is from RNAcentral.